RNAcentral lists this ribosomal RNA (433 nucleotides) under uncultured bacterium. RNAcentral describes it as "partial 16S ribosomal RNA". It matches the Rfam family "Bacterial small subunit ribosomal RNA", at positions 29 to 507 of the family's 1533-position model. The record is from RNAcentral.
AACGAACGCUGGCGGCAUGCCUAACACAUGCAAGUCGAACGAAACCUUCGGGUCUAGUGGCGCACGGGUGCGUAACGCGUGGGAACCUGCCCUUAGGUUCGGAAUAACUCCCCGAAAGGGGUGCUAAUACCGGAUAAUGUCUUCGGACGAAAGAUUUAUCGCCUUUGGAUGGGCCCGCGUUGGAUUAGCUAGUUGGUAGGGUAAAAGCCUACCAAGGCGACGAUCCAUAGCUGGUCUGAGAGGAUGAUCAGCCACACUGGGACUGAGACACGGCCCAGACUCCUACGGGAGGCAGCAGUGGGGAAUAUUGGACAAUGGGCGAAAGCCUGAUCCAGCAAUGCCGCGUGAGUGAUGAAGGCCUUAGGGUUGUAAAGCUCUUUUACCCGGGAUGAUAAUGACAGUACCGGGAGAAUAAGCUCCGGCUAACUCCGUG